AAAGACUAUCCAUAUCCUAUGUACCUAACAUUUCUAGGGGAUUAUGUGUCAGAAAGCAUGGAUAUUUAUUUCAUUCCAUAUCAGUAUACUAGUAAAUUUGUCACACAUACACUGUUUGUCGAACCAAUUCCAAUAAUAUCUAUAGACAUGCAUAUCUUUGGAAAGAAAAGGACCACACACACAUACAAAGGAAGUGUCUCAAGGGCCAAACUGUUCUGGAAACUAUCAUAGCAGAAAUCAUAUUUUUCUAAGUCUGGACUAAAAGGGGAUGCACGCACACUUAUCUUGGCUUGAUCAGCUGAACAAUCAGAUCUUACUACUCGACAUUGGUAUUGUUUGAUGCUUCCCAUCGAACAUCAAGCAAUUUGUGAUUCACCAUUGCCCUAGGGACUCGACAUCCCAGCUAUCUUGCUCUGGCAGCUUACUGGUAGCAGACAAAAAUACUUGAAUGCCUGUUUUGGAAGUUGUUCCAAAUUUGUACAGCUCCCUAGGUGGACUCAUAGAAGGUUGAACAAUGUUUUAUUAAUCAGUUAUAGCAUCCGUAAACUUCAAAGAAAAUUCAUAAACAAAAUCUACCUCAUUAGGUGCAUCCUUUUAUGAUUCUUGGCUGUUAGGUGAACAAAGAGAUAGUAAGAAACAUAUGAAACUGGCUUUUUAAACUUGCAUUAUUGCAGUAUGCAAGAAAUUGAUGUCUGAUGAUAUUGCCCCAAGUGGUCUAGAAUAACUUGAUAACCUAACAAUGCACUAAGUGAUUAUGUAGAGAAUUAUAAAUUCACCAAAUUCUUAAUUCAGUAUUUUAAUCAAACAACAUUUGUUAAUUUGGAACUAUUUGAUAUUGUUGAUUGUGCGUAAGUCUAUUUAGUUAGAGAAGGUUCAGCAAAUACCUGUUAUUACCUUGACAGUGCCCACAGCUUGACAGAGUUAAUAUUUUGGGCAAGAAAUCUCUGUUAUAAAUGGUCCAAAUUUAUCUAUAUGUAUUAUGUAUAUCUCCAACAAUAGAAAAAACAUUUUGGUCCUCUUCCUCUCUAGCAAAUCUUCGUCGGUGAUAGGGAUAUACCAAUGACCUUUCUUUGAUUUCUGAGUUUCAGAGGUAGAGGGUGGAACAAUUAGAAAGUCAAUAAAGGGCUAGAUGAAUCUGAUUGAAAAACUAAAAACAACAGAAUAUCUUGUUGUGCAUAAAUCAUCAAUUAUAUGCCCAAUUAGUACUGUCCAGUUAAAAGUCGAAGCUAGAAUUAUAGAUCUUACAACUGUACUUCCAAAAAGAACAAUUCAAUGUCAGACUUUUAUCAUUGCUAAAUGUCAGGAUCUCAUAUCAUACAAUCAUAAUCCUCCUAGAUUAGGAUUAUACCAAAUUAGUGAACGAAUAAAAUAACUACAAUUUGGAGCUUCAACUAAAGCAAACGGUUAACUUAAUUUUCUAGUCGAUGACCAUGUUGGUACCUGAAGAAUUACCCUCCCCCUACUGUUAGUUUAGCACUUUGGUCCCAAGUUCUUGGCGCAGCAUCUGAUCCCAAAUCUCCAACCUGGUAGCCAAUUCUGGUCAACAAAUAGUAGCAUGGAAUACUUUUACAACUAACUUAGAAUCAGACAAGAAGACAUGCUUGC
RNAcentral lists this long non-coding RNA (1605 nucleotides) under Triticum aestivum (bread wheat). RNAcentral describes it as "long non-coding RNA (TAES_LNC001717)". The record is from RNAcentral. Lineage: Eukaryota; Viridiplantae; Streptophyta; Magnoliopsida; Poales; Poaceae.